RNAcentral lists this non-coding RNA (24 nucleotides) under Rattus norvegicus (Norway rat). The record is from RNAcentral. Lineage: Eukaryota; Metazoa; Chordata; Mammalia; Rodentia; Muridae.
UCUAACUGGAUGGAUAGCAAGUCU